UUUGCAGUGUCACAUGAAUCCUUGCCGCAUGCCUUGUGACACAUUGAUCAAGCCAGUUCUUGGCCACUGUAGUCAACCUUAAUGGGUUUGGUAUUCCAGUGUUGGCCGCCGUUGAACUGACAUGAAAGGAGAUAAAGUUGUCUGUUUACAAGAAGCAAUCAGGCUUUUUCCUUAAAGAUGUGCUGAGUGCGUCCUGGCUACCGCUGCAUCCCGGCAUGCUUCGCGGAUCGGUAUAUCGGUUGGCGGCCUGGAGGUCGGGGACCACUGCACCACCCCAACCUCCGACGACUCAGCCCAACACACCAUCAUCAGUGUGCUCGGCGCUGAUUUCCCGAUUCCCGGUUCUUUUGAAGACCCUGAUCUGGAGUUACACACUGAUUUUGGCUGUUUGCGGGAAUGGGACCCACUCUCAGGGCCUCAUGAGUGACCGCAUUUUGAUAUACCAAGGACACGGCCUGGGAGACUAGCAAGCCUUCAGGGUGGCAGAUUUUCAUGGCUCUGGAAGCAGGCAGAUUUGAGUUCGGUGCCUCCUCAGAAAACUGGUGUGUCAUGGGAGCCCAUGGAAGAUUGAAAAAAGCAAUGUAUGCCAGGAGACUUGAGUUCUUUUGGCACAGUGCUUGGAAAAAGUGACGCAAUGGACUUUAACACCAUAAAUUGGCGAGUUGUUUUGUUAUGUCUCCCCUCUCGCUGUGAAAUGGGGACAUCUCUCUUACCCUUAUUAGGGAGAGAGAGAGCCUAUGGUAUGUCAAAUACCGGGUG
Mobula hypostoma (lesser devil ray) is the source of this 759-nucleotide long non-coding RNA. RefSeq lists it as uncharacterized. The transcript has 3 exons. The record is from RefSeq and is a predicted model, not a curated record. Lineage: Eukaryota; Metazoa; Chordata; Chondrichthyes; Myliobatiformes; Myliobatidae.